UAGGGAAUAUUGCAAAAUGGGCGAAAGCCCGAUGCAGCAACGCCGCGUGGGCGAUGAAGGCCUUCGGGUCGUAAAGCCCUUUUUGAGGGGAUGAGGAAGGACAGUACCCUCAGAAUAAGCCUCGGCUAACUACGUGCCAGCAGCCGCGGUAAAACGUAGGAGGCGAGCGUUAUCCGGAUUUACUGGGCGUAAAGCGCGUGCAGGCGGAUUGGAGAGUUGGAUGUGAAAGCUCCCGGCUUAACUGGGAGAGGUCGUUCAAUACUUCCAGUCUUGAGUGCAGUAGAGNGAAGUGGAAUUCCGGGUGUAGUGGUGAAAUGCGUAGAUAUCCGGAGGAACACCAGUGGCGAAAGCGGCUUCCUGGACUGUAACUGACGCUGAGGCACGAAAGCGUGGGUAGCAAACA
Molecule: ribosomal RNA, 403 nt
Filed under: uncultured bacterium
Lineage: Bacteria
Description: bacterial SSU rRNA
Rfam family: Bacterial small subunit ribosomal RNA
Source: RNAcentral